GCAUUGAUGGUUCAAAGGUAGAAUCCUUGCUUUCCGUGCAAGAGACCAAGGUUUGAUUCCUGGCCCAUGUA
Molecule: transfer RNA, 71 nt
Filed under: Loxodonta africana (African savanna elephant)
Lineage: Eukaryota; Metazoa; Chordata; Mammalia; Proboscidea; Elephantidae
Rfam family: tRNA
About the family: Transfer RNA (tRNA) molecules are approximately 80 nucleotides in length. Their secondary structure includes four short double-helical elements and three loops (D, anti-codon, and T loops). Further hydrogen bonds mediate the characteristic L-shaped molecular structure. tRNAs have two regions of fundamental functional importance: the anti-codon, which is responsible for specific mRNA codon recognition, and the 3' end, to which the tRNAs corresponding amino acid is attached (by aminoacyl-tRNA synthetases). tRNAs cope with the degeneracy of the genetic code in two manners: having more than one tRNA (with a specific anti-codon) for a particular amino acid; and 'wobble' base-pairing, i.e. permitting non-standard base-pairing at the 3rd anti-codon position.
Source: Rfam by way of RNAcentral